UAGGGAAUCUUCCGCAAUGGACGAAAGUCUGACGGAGCAACGCCGCGUGAGUGAAGAAGGAUUUCGGUUCGUAAAACUCUGUUGUUAGGGAAGAAAAAAUGUAUAGUAACUAUAUACAAAAGAGACGGUACCUAACCAGAAAGCCACGGCUAACUACGUGCCAGCAGCCGCGGUAAUACGUAGGUGGCAAGCGUUGUCCGGAAUUAUUGGGCGUAAAGCGCGCGCAGGUGGUUUAGAAAGUCUGAUGUGAAAGCCCACGGCUCAACCGUGGAGGGUCAUUGGAAACUAAUAAACUUGAGUGCAGGAGAGAAAGGUGGAGUUCCUAGUGUAGCGGUGAAAUGCGUAGAGAUUAGGAGGAACACCGGUGGCGAAAGCGGCUUUUUGGCCUGCAACUGACGCUGAGGCGCGAAAGCGUGGGGGGCAAACAGG
This 429-nucleotide ribosomal RNA is filed under the name Verrucomicrobiota bacterium. Its description in RNAcentral is "Verrucomicrobia bacterium partial 16S ribosomal RNA". It matches the Rfam family "Bacterial small subunit ribosomal RNA", at positions 355 to 776 of the family's 1533-position model. Lineage: Bacteria; Pseudomonadati; Verrucomicrobiota. The record is from RNAcentral.